GUACACGCUGUGACUAGCAUAUCAAUAAGCGGAGGAAAAGAAACUAACAAGGAUUCCCUCAGUAACGGCGAGUGAAGCGGGAAGAGCUCAAAUUUGAAAUCUUGAAAGGUCACCUUUCACGAAUUGUAGUUUAAAGAAGUGUUUUCUGUUACGAUCGUAAUAUAAGUUCUUUGGAAUAGGACAUCAUAGAGGGUGAGAAUCCCGUAUGAUUGACGAUUUGUCAGCUUUGUGAUACACUUUCAAAGAGUCGGAUUGUUUGGGAAUGCAGUCCAAAAUGGGAUGGUAAAUUUCAUCUAAGGCUAAAUAUUGGCGAGAGACCGAUAGCGAACAAGUACCGUGAGGGAAAGAUGAAAAGAACUUUGAAAAGAGAGUUAAAUAGUACGUGAAAUUGUCAAAAGGGAAGCGUUUAACACCAGUGUUGUUUUCUGAAAAUCAACCUCUGUUAGCUUUAUGCAUGUUUGUUUAGACCUAAUCAGCUAUCUUGCAUGUUCUAUUGUUUGCAGUGGUGCACUUUUCAGUUUACAGGUCAACAUCAGUUUUUUUUACCGUAAAAAAGUUAAAGAAAGGUAGCUCAUGGCUCCGGUCGUGAGUGUUAUAGUCUUUUUCCUAUGCGGUAGGAGAGACUGAGGUCUGCAGUGUAGGCUAUUUGGCUAGAUACUCAGGUGCUAUGUGAUACCAUUUCAUAAACAACUUGUUGAUUAUGUUUUGUCUAUUGCAUACUCGCUUGUACUAUCAUACCUACGCUUAGGAUGUUGAGUAGCGACAUACGCAC
This 772-nucleotide ribosomal RNA is filed under the name uncultured Neocallimastigales. RNAcentral describes it as "partial large subunit ribosomal RNA". It matches the Rfam family "Eukaryotic large subunit ribosomal RNA", at positions 22 to 646 of the family's 3401-position model. Lineage: Eukaryota; Fungi; Neocallimastigomycota; Neocallimastigomycetes; Neocallimastigales. The record is from RNAcentral.